Molecule: transfer RNA, 65 nt
Filed under: Mesorhizobium sp. RMAD-H1
Lineage: Bacteria; Pseudomonadati; Pseudomonadota; Alphaproteobacteria; Hyphomicrobiales; Phyllobacteriaceae
Description: tRNA-Arg
Rfam family: tRNA
About the family: Transfer RNA (tRNA) molecules are approximately 80 nucleotides in length.
Source: RNAcentral
GCCUUCGCCUAAUGGUAGGGCACCGCACUUCGAAUGCGUCUGUCUUGGUUCGACUCCAAGUGGCA